CAAGUUUGACCUCGAAUCAGGUGGGACUACCCGCUGAACUUAAGCAUAUCAAUAAGCGGAGGAAAAGAACUAACAAGGAUUCCCCUAGUAACGGCGAGUGAAGCGGGAAAAGCUCAAAUUUAAAAUCUGACAGUCUUCGAUUGUCCGAAUUGUAAUCUAGAGAAGCGUUUUCUGCGCUGGACUGUGUAUAAGUUUCCUGGAUACGGAACAUCAUAGAGGGUGAGAAUCCCGUCCUUGACACAGACUCCCAGUUGCUUUGUGAUGCGCUCUCGACGAGUCGAGUUGUUUGGGAUUGCAGCUCAAAAUGGGAGGUAAAUUCCUUCUAAAGCUAAAUAUUGGCGAGAGACCGAUAGCGAACAAGUACCGUGAGGGAAAGAUGAAAAGCACUUUGGAAAGAGAGUUAAACAGUACGUGAAAUUGUUAAAAGGGAAACGCUUGAAGUCAGUCGCAUCUGCUUGGACUCAGCCUCACUUCGGUUUGGUGCAUUUCCUUGCAGGUGGGCCAGCGUCCAUGCUGUUUGUCGGAAAAGGGGUGNAGGAAUGUGGCUCCUUUGGGAGUGUUAUAGCCUUCAUUCGUAUGCGAUGGAUGGUAUGGAGUGGUACAGCAUGCUUCGGUGGUGCUUGUGCUGGCAUAAUGGCUUUAAACGACCCGUCUUGAAACACGGACCA
This 668-nucleotide ribosomal RNA is filed under the name uncultured Clavulinaceae. RNAcentral's name for it is "eukaryotic LSU rRNA". It matches the Rfam family "Eukaryotic large subunit ribosomal RNA", at positions 1 to 668 of the family's 3401-position model. The record is from RNAcentral. Lineage: Eukaryota; Fungi; Basidiomycota; Agaricomycetes; Cantharellales; Hydnaceae.